UACGUAGGGGGCAAGCGUUAUCCGGAUUUACUGGGUGUAAAGGGAGCGUAGACGGUGAUGCAAGUCAGAAGUGAAAGCCCGGGGCUCAACUCCGGGACUGCUCUUGGAACUGCGUGGCUGGAGUGCAGGAGGGGCAGGCGGAAUUCCUGGUGUAGCGGUGAAAUGCGUAGAUAUCAGGAGGAACACCGGUGGCGAAGGCGGCCUGCUGGACUGCAACUGACGUUGAGGCCCGAAAGCGUGGGGAGCAAACAGG
This 253-nucleotide ribosomal RNA is filed under the name uncultured bacterium. RNAcentral describes it as "partial 16S ribosomal RNA". It matches the Rfam family "Bacterial small subunit ribosomal RNA", at positions 524 to 776 of the family's 1533-position model. The record is from RNAcentral.